RNAcentral lists this ribosomal RNA (500 nucleotides) under uncultured bacterium. Its description in RNAcentral is "partial 16S ribosomal RNA". It matches the Rfam family "Bacterial small subunit ribosomal RNA", at positions 30 to 523 of the family's 1533-position model. The record is from RNAcentral.
AUUGAACGCUGGCGGCAUGCCUUACACAUGCAAGUCGAACGGCAGCACGGGAGCAAUCCUGGUGGCGAGUGGCGAACGGGUGAGUAAAGUAUCGGAACGUGCCCAGUCGUGGGGGAUAACGUAGCGAAAGUUACGCUAAUACCGCAUACGCUCUAUGGAUGAAAGCGGGGGAGCGCAAGACCUCGCGCGAUUGGAGCGGCCGAUAUCAGAUUAGGUAGUUGGUGGGGUAAAGGCUCACCAAGCCGACGAUCUGUAGCUGGUCUGAGAGGACGAACAGCCACACUGGGACUGAGACACGGCCCAGACUCCUACGGGAGGCAGCAGUGGGGAAUUUUGGACAAUGGGCGAAAGCCUGAUCCAGCCAUGCCGCGUGCAGGAUGAAGGCCUUCGGGUUGUAAACUGCUUUUGUACGGAACGAAAAGGUUUGGGCUAAUAAGCUGAGCUCAUGACGGUACCGUAAGAAUAAGCACCGGCUAACUACGUGCCAGCCGCCGCAGUAA